AACGAACGCUGGCGGCAGGCCUAACACAUGCAAGUCGAACGCCCUAGCAAUAGGGAGUGGCAGACGGGUGAGUAACGCGUGGGAAUAUCCCCCUCAGUACGGAAUAGCCCAGGGAGACUUGGAGUAAUACCGUAUACGUCCGUGAGGAGAAAGAUUUAUCGCUGAGGGAUUAGCCCGCGUCGGAUUAGCUAGUUGGUGAGGUAACGGCUCACCAAGGCGACGAUCCGUAGCUGGUUUGAGAGAAUGACCAGCCACACUGGGACUGAGACACGGCCCAGACUCCUACGGGAGGCAGCAGUGGGGAAUCUUGGACAAUGGGCGCAAGCCUGAUCCAGCCAUGCCGCGUGAGUGACGAAGGCCUUAGGGUUGUAAAGCUCUUUCGCCGGGGACGAUAAUGACGGUACCCGGAGAAUAAGUCCCGGCUAACUUCGUGCCAGCCGCCGCUGUAA
RNAcentral lists this ribosomal RNA (449 nucleotides) under uncultured bacterium. Its description in RNAcentral is "partial 16S ribosomal RNA". It matches the Rfam family "Bacterial small subunit ribosomal RNA", at positions 29 to 523 of the family's 1533-position model. The record is from RNAcentral.